RNAcentral lists this ribosomal RNA (957 nucleotides) under Cubamyces sp. Its description in RNAcentral is "Leiotrametes sp. partial large subunit ribosomal RNA". It matches the Rfam family "Eukaryotic large subunit ribosomal RNA", at positions 35 to 1397 of the family's 3401-position model. Lineage: Eukaryota; Fungi; Basidiomycota; Agaricomycetes; Polyporales; Polyporaceae. The record is from RNAcentral.
AUAGCAUAUCAAUAAGCGGAGGAAAAGAAACUAACAAGGAUUCCCCUAGUAACUGCGAGUGAAGCGGGAAAAGCUCAAAUUUAAAAUCUGGCGGUCUUUGGCCGUCCGAGUUGUAGUCUGGAGAAGCGUCUUCCGCGCUGGACCGUGUAUAAGUCUCUUGGAACAGAGCGUCAUAGAGGGUGAGAAUCCCGUCUUUGACACGGACUACCAGUGCUUUGUGAUGCGCUCUCAAAGAGUCGAGUUGUUUGGGAAUGCAGCUCAAAAUGGGUGGUGAAUUCCAUCUAAAGCUAAAUAUUGGCGAGAGACCGAUAGCGAACAAGUACCGUGAGGGAAAGAUGAAAAGCACUUUGGAAAGAGAGUUAAACAGUACGUGAAAUUGCUGAAAGGGAAACGCUUGAAGUCAGUCGCGUUGUCCGGGACUCAGCCUUGCUUCGGCUUGGUGCACUUUCCGGAUGACGGGCCAGCAUCGAUUUUGACCGCCGGAAAAGGGCUGGAGGAAUGUGGCACCUUCGGGUGUGUUAUAGCCUCCAGUCGCAUACGGCGGUUGGGAUCGAGGAACGCAGCACGCCUUAUGGCGGGGGGUUUACCCUACCUUCGUGCUUAGGAUGCUGGCAUAAUGGCUUUAAACGACCCGUCUUGAAACACGGACCAAGGAGUCUAACAUGCCUGCGAGUGUUUGGGUGGAAAACCCGAGCGCGUAAUGAAAGUGAAAGUUGAGACCUCUGUCGUGGAGGGCAUCGACGCCCGGACCUGACGUUCUCUGACGGAUCCGCGGUAGAGCAUGUAUGUUGGGACCCGAAAGAUGGUGAACUAUGCCUGAAUACGGUGAAGCCAGAGGAAACUCUGGUGGAGCUCGUAGCGAUUCUGACGUGCAAUCGAUCGUCAAUUUGGUAUAGGGCGAAGACUAAUCGAACCAUCUAGUAGCUGGUCUGCGGCUUUUCUCUCCCGCGCUGGUGA